This 559-nucleotide ribosomal RNA is filed under the name Apiotrichum montevideense. Its description in RNAcentral is "eukaryotic LSU rRNA". It matches the Rfam family "Eukaryotic large subunit ribosomal RNA", at positions 54 to 620 of the family's 3401-position model. The record is from RNAcentral. Lineage: Eukaryota; Fungi; Basidiomycota; Tremellomycetes; Trichosporonales; Trichosporonaceae.
AGGAAAAGAAACUAACAAGGAUUCCCCUAGUAACGGCGAGUGAACCGGGAAAAGCUCAAAUUUGAAAUCUGGCUGUCUUCGAUAGUCCGAGUUGUAAUCUAUAGAAGCGUUUUCCGUGCUGAACUGUGUCUAAGUCCCUUGGAACAGGGUAUCAAAGAGGGUGAUAAUCCCGUACUUGACACAACCAUCAGUGCUCUGUGAUACGUUCUCUACGAGUCGAGUUGUUUGGGAAUGCAGCUCAAAAUGGGUGGUAAAUUCCAUCUAAAGCUAAAUAUUGGCGAGAGACCGAUAGCGAACAAGUACCGUGAGGGAAAGAUGAAAAGCACUUUGGAAAGAGAGUUAAACAGUACGUGAAAUUGUUGAAAGGGAAACGAUUGAAGUCAGUCGUGUUCAUUGGAUUCAGCUAGUUCUUCUAGUCUACUUCCUUUGAACGGGUCAACAUCAGUUUUGUCCGGUGGAUAAAGGAUUUAGGAAUGUGACUCCCUCGGGAGUGUUAUAGCCUAGGUUCACAUACACUGGGUGAGACUGAGGACUGCAGCGUCGCCUUUUGGCCGGGUUC